GAUCCUAAACUUGCUGCUGUUUCUAAUCAAAAUUACACAUGUAAGUAUCUGCACACCAGUGAGAAUGCCCACCUAAAGACACCCAGAGCAGGUAUCAGGCACGAACCUUCAGCCCAAAACACCUUGCUAUGCCACAUCCACACGGACAACCAACAGUGACUAAUAUUAAGCAAUAAGCGACAUCCCACCCCAAGCUCGACUUAGUUAUGAUUAUUAGGGCCGGUAAAUCUCGUGCCAGCCACCGCGGUUAUACGAGAAGCCCAAAACAACAGCCCCCGGCGUAAAUUGUGACUAGAUUACCCGUGCCACACAAGGGAAACUAAACUACAAAUACCCAGUUGUAAAACACUAAAACAAAAUAGAAGCCCAACUUUCCCCCACCCGCAAUUUUGAAGCCACGAAAUCUAAGAAACAAACUAGGAUUAGAUACCCUACUAUGCUUAGACAUUAAUAUGACCAUUAAAACAACCCCGGUCCGCCAGAGAACUACAAGCAAAAGCUUCAAACUCAAAAGACUUGGCGGUGCCCCACACCAACUUAGAGGAGCCUGUCCUACAAUCGAUACCCCACGCUAAACCCAACCACCUUUUGCACCCUUCAGCCUAUAUACCGCCGUCGUAAAUUCACCUCACAAGAGCCUAACAGUGAAUAAAACAGUUAACAACUAAUACGUCAGGUCAAGGUGUAGCUAACAAAGUGGCAGAGAUGGGCUACAUUCUUUAUCUUAAAGAAAACCAAAGUCCUAUGAAACAAGCACCCAAAGGCGGAUUUAACAGUAAAGCUGGCAAGAAAGCCACCUUUAACCCCGCUCUGGGGCGCGCACACACCGCCCGUCACCCUCCU
This 843-nucleotide ribosomal RNA is filed under the name Stenocercus caducus. RNAcentral describes it as "partial small subunit ribosomal RNA". It matches the Rfam family "Bacterial small subunit ribosomal RNA". Lineage: Eukaryota; Metazoa; Chordata; Lepidosauria; Squamata; Tropiduridae. The record is from RNAcentral.